ACAAUAACAUAAUACUCUAAGAACCAAUAAAACUAGCAUCAACACAUGUUGGAGCAGAAGGGUCUUUUGCUCCAAUAUGCUCAAAGCAGAGCCAAAUACUACAGCACAAAGUUCCAUUUACUAAUCCUAACCCAAAACAUGUUUAAACUAACAAGUCAUCAACCUCAAUAUAGUUUAGAAGACUGUUGAAAAUACAUUAAUGUCAGAUAUGUAAACAAAAAAGGAACUGAUCAAUAUCAAGAAAAACACAAGACAGAUGAUCCUUGUAUAUAGGGGCAAAGUAACCAAAAUCUGGAGCAUGAAAGAUAAUUGUAUGUGGCAACUAUCAGAUCAAAGUAUUGCCUGAGAACACUAGAAAUGACAAAUACUGCGUAAGACAUCCAGAAA
Solanum tuberosum (potato) is the source of this 387-nucleotide long non-coding RNA. RefSeq lists it as uncharacterized. NCBI's taxonomy places the organism in Eukaryota, Viridiplantae, Streptophyta, Magnoliopsida, Solanales, Solanaceae. The record is from RefSeq and is a predicted model, not a curated record. The transcript is spliced from 2 exons.